AGUUGUAUCCUGGCUCAGGAUGAACGCUGGCGAGAUGCUUUACACAUGCAAGUCGUACGAGAGUCUUUGACUCAAGUGGCGGACGGGUGAGUAACACGUAAGAAUUUGCCUUUAGGAGGGGGACAACAACUGGAAACGGCUGCUAAUACCCCAUAUGCUUUCGAGUGAAACGGAUUUUUCCGCCUAGAGAGAAGCUUGCGGCUGAUUAGCUUGUUGGUAAGGUAAUGGCUUACCAAGGCGACGAUCAGUAUCUGGUUUGAGAGGAUGAUCAGACACACUGGAACUGAGACACGGUCCAGACUCCUGCGGGAGGCAGCAGUGGGGAAUUUUCCGCAAUGGGCGAAAGCCUGACGGAGCAAUCUCGCGUGAGGGAUGACUGCCUAUGGGUUGUAAACCUCUUUUUUCAGGGAGGAAUAAAUGACGUGUACCUGAAGAAUAAGCAUCGGCUAACUCCGUGCCAGCAGCCGCGGUAAUACGGAGGAUGCAAGUGUUAUCCGGAAUCACUGGGCGUAAAGCGUCUGUAGGUUGUUUAAUAAGUCAACUGUUAAAUCUUGAAGCUCAACUUCAAAAUCGCAGUCGAAACUGUUAGACUAGAGUAUAGUAGGGGUAAAGGGAAUUUCCAGUGGAGCGGUGAAAUGCGUAGAUAUUGGAAAGAACACCGAUGGCGAAGGCACUUUACUGGGCUAUUACUGACACUCAGAGACGAAAGCUAGGGUAGCAAAUGGGAUUAGAUACCCCAGUAGUCCUAGCUGUAAACAAUGGAUACUAGAUGUUGAACAGAUCGACCUGUGCAGUAUCAAAGCUAACGCGUUAAGUAUCCC
RNAcentral lists this ribosomal RNA (821 nucleotides) under uncultured bacterium. Its description in RNAcentral is "bacterial SSU rRNA". It matches the Rfam family "Bacterial small subunit ribosomal RNA", at positions 10 to 870 of the family's 1533-position model. The record is from RNAcentral.